UUAGGAAUAUUCGUCAAUGGGGGAAACCCUGAACGAGCAAUGCCGCGUGAGUGAUGACGGUCCUUUGGAUUGUAAAACUCUGUUGUUAGGGAAGAACGACUUAAGUAGGAAAUGGCUUAAGAGUGACUGUACCUUUCAAGAAAGCUCCGGCUAACUACGUGCCAGCAGCCGCGGUAAUACGUAGGGAGCAAGCGUUAUCCGGAUUUAUUGGGUGUAAAGCGUGUGUAGGCGGUUUAUUAAGUCUAAGGUUUAAGCCUGGAGCUCAACUCCAGUUCGCCUUGGAAACUGAUUUACUUGAGUGCGGUAGAGGCAAGUGGAAUUUCUAGUGUAGCGGUUAAAUGCGUAGAUAUUAGAAGGAACACCAGUGGCGAAGGCGACUUGCUGGGCCGUUACUGACGCUGAGACACGAAAGCGUGGGGAGCAAAUAGG
RNAcentral lists this ribosomal RNA (429 nucleotides) under uncultured bacterium. RNAcentral describes it as "bacterial SSU rRNA". It matches the Rfam family "Bacterial small subunit ribosomal RNA", at positions 355 to 776 of the family's 1533-position model. The record is from RNAcentral.